Molecule: ribosomal RNA, 429 nt
Filed under: Gemmatimonadota bacterium
Lineage: Bacteria; Pseudomonadati; Gemmatimonadota
Description: Gemmatimonadetes bacterium partial 16S ribosomal RNA
Rfam family: Bacterial small subunit ribosomal RNA
Source: RNAcentral
UAGGGAAUCUUCGGCAAUGGACGAAAGUCUGACCGAGCAACGCCGCGUGAGUGAAGAAGGUUUUCGGAUCGUAAAACUCUGUUGUUAGAGAAGAACAAGGACGUUAGUAACUGAACGUCCCCUGACGGUAUCUAACCAGAAAGCCACGGCUAACUACGUGCCAGCAGCCGCGGUAAUACGUAGGUGGCAAGCGUUGUCCGGAUUUAUUGGGCGUAAAGCGAGCGCAGGCGGUUUCUUAAGUCUGAUGUGAAAGCCCCCGGCUCAACCGGGGAGUGUCAUUGGAAACUGGGAGACUUGAGUGCAGAAGAGGAGAGUGGAAUUCCAUGUGUAGCGGUGAAAUGCGUAGAUAUAUGGAGGAACACCAGUGGCGAAGGCGGCUCUCUGGUCUGUAACUGACGCUGAGGCUCGAAAGCGUGGGGAGAAAACAGG